GCCACAGCCAUAUCACCCUGCAGCCCAAGACUGGUUGCCCACUGAAGCUAAGCAGGGUUGAGCCUGGUCAGUACCUGGAUGGGAGACCUCCUGGGAAAACUAGGUUGCUGCUGGAA
This is a ribosomal RNA of Sinocyclocheilus anshuiensis, 116 nucleotides long. The record is from Ensembl. NCBI's taxonomy places the organism in Eukaryota, Metazoa, Chordata, Actinopteri, Cypriniformes, Cyprinidae.